AUAAAAACAUUGAUAGAGAGAGUAGAUAUAGUAAUUUCUUAUCAGGGAAAAAAUGCCAUGGACUGAAAGCAUUUUUAGAAACCUAUAUUGAAGUUCACUCUGGAGUUCUAACUGUGAAAUAUAAAGUAGUAGUUAGCGGCAUAGUCGUUAUUUGAAAUUAAGUGAGUACUAAUUUUUUAGUACUAAUUAGGGUGGUACCACGGAUAUGAAUACCCCGUCCCUUGU
Molecule: non-coding RNA, 225 nt
Filed under: Clostridium perfringens
Lineage: Bacteria; Bacillati; Bacillota; Clostridia; Eubacteriales; Clostridiaceae
Description: T-box sequence
Rfam family: T-box leader
About the family: Uncharged tRNA acts as the effector for transcription antitermination of genes in the T-box leader family. T-boxes are found upstream of many aminoacyl-tRNA synthetase genes and some amino acid biosynthetic genes usually in Gram-positive bacteria.
Source: RNAcentral